UCUCGGUCCCCCAAAGAGAACGGCAAAGGAGACAUAAAGUCAAAGUCCAGAUCCCGGAGCCAGUCUCGGUCCCACUCGCCUCUACCUGCUCCACCCUCAAAGGCUCGGUCCAUGUCCCCUCCGCCAAAAAGAGCUUCAAGGUCCCGUUCUAGAUCUCGUUCAAGGUCCAGAUCAAGUUCCAGAGAUUAACCCUGACCUCGACGUUCUUUGCACACUAUAACAGAACACUUUCCUACUUGCUUAGGCAGUUACUCUUCCGAGUUUAUACUCGCCUCUUCUUUAAGAGGAUUUCCUGAAAAGGGAACACCGGAAUUUGAUUUGUGGCCAAAUUUACUGAGAAAAAGAUGAGGUUCUAAAAUGGUGGUAUGAAGCCCUCUCCCUUCUUUGUAGAAUUAAGAUAAUUUUGAUUUUGUAGCCUUUGAGCUAAAAUAACUUUUGUAAAGAUUAAGCUCAUUUAGAUUUUUUUUAAAGUAUUGCAGCAGGAUCUGCUGCAGGGUUCUGUUGUUUUGUUUUGCUUAUUUUUAAAUUAACUGUUCAGGCUUUGGAUACUGCAGGCUUUAGAGGGAGAACCCAAAUUUUCAAUUAUGUUGGCUUUUUAUAAAGCUUGAGUUAUGUAAGAUUUAAAUAAAAGUUUGCUACCAAGAUGAUUGCCUUAUUGAAUAGGUCACUACUAAGGCCCUUAAGUGUUGAUACCUGCCAUGUGUGGAGACAGUGUAAAUUCUACAUGAGUGUGAAACAAGGCAAGUCUCAGACCAGCAAUAAAUUAUUCAGUUUGGCU
RNAcentral lists this long non-coding RNA (778 nucleotides) under Mus musculus (house mouse). RNAcentral describes it as "long non-coding RNA chr2:162934568-162935346". The record is from RNAcentral. Lineage: Eukaryota; Metazoa; Chordata; Mammalia; Rodentia; Muridae.